This 408-nucleotide unclassified non-coding RNA is filed under the name Artemisia dracunculus (tarragon). Its description in RNAcentral is "partial external transcribed spacer". Lineage: Eukaryota; Viridiplantae; Streptophyta; Magnoliopsida; Asterales; Asteraceae. The record is from RNAcentral.
UCGUAAAGGUGGAUGAGUGGUGUUUGGUUUGUUACGUGUGGUUGGCUGCGGCGUUUGCAACAACUUCCAUGCUUUCAGACCUCUUCAGUUGUGCGGCAAGGCUUGUAUUGCCUUGAGCGUAUUGUGGGUUUUCUGUGUUGGCUACCUAAUCAACGGUAUCGUUUGGAUUGAUCAAAGUUUGAUUUCGUCUUCCGUCGCGUUUGCGGCGUGAGGUGAACCUUGAUGCGGUCUCUUUGAUCCAUCUCGUCGAAGCACAUGCUUUGACGUUGUGGCACAUUGAGCAUUGCUUGGUGUCUUGUAUACGGAACACGUAGUGGGCAUGGAUCUAACGAUUCUUGUUUGCCCUCAUAUUAGCGUAACGCUUCUCUAACACGACUUGCAUCACGUUUUAGCUCGUACGGACGUGGU